UAUUAAUAACAAUAAAUUAUAUCUACACCAUGAUUCAUGCUUCUCAUUACGCUAUCUUACAGGACUGCAAGAAGAGUGUAGCAACCUCAUUGUUUGUCACGGGUAUGUUAACGUCCUGUAGUUAUUGGAGAUGAUACUGUUUUUCAUGCUAUUGGUUGGGAUUCCUCUUACUGUCCAAACUGGGAAAGCAAAGGCUUGGAGAAAGCUAGUUCUUUGCCCAACUUAAAAGUUGGAGCCAAGAUUCGCAUCUGGGAGUCGGUGAGAUGGCUCAGUGGGUAAAGGCACUUGUGGCCACUGCAUGGGUGACCAGAGUUUGAUUCCCCAGGACGCCUGUGCUGGAAGAGGGGAACUGGCUCCUGAAAGAAAAUUGUUCUUGGACCUCCUCACAUGCCAUGAACCAGAAGCCCCAUACACACACUAAAUAACUAAAUGUUCAAGACAAGACAAACAAAAGCUAAGGGUGAAAGAAUCCUGGACCUGGAGAUGAAGGACUGUAAUCCCAGCUUCUCAGGAGGACGAGGUGGGAGGAGCUCCAAGCCAUUCUGGGCAACUUAAGAGACUCUCAAAACCAAACCAAAACCAAUCAAAAGGAACGGAAACUAUGAAAAGUCACCGUGCAGCAGAAGACCUACUCAGCGCAGAUGGGUCCCGUGCCCUAGCACCCAAAAGGAGACUGGCCUCUCGCUGAACCCAGGGGCUGCCUGAACGUCAUCUGAGAGAGAGGAUUCUGCCUCAGUCUCCAAGGACUCCAUGUCUAUGGGUCACUGCGCUGGCCGGAGCUAUUGGAUUCCCAUGAUUCAUUCCAUGGAGAUAUUCAACAUUUUUUUUUUUUUUUUUUGUG
Molecule: long non-coding RNA, 841 nt
Organism: Mastomys coucha (southern multimammate mouse)
Lineage: Eukaryota; Metazoa; Chordata; Mammalia; Rodentia; Muridae
Exons: 4
Source: RefSeq, a predicted model, not a curated record